Molecule: ribosomal RNA, 492 nt
Filed under: uncultured bacterium
Lineage: Bacteria
Description: partial 16S ribosomal RNA
Rfam family: Bacterial small subunit ribosomal RNA
Source: RNAcentral
AGUGAAUGCUGGCGGUAGGCCUAACACAUGCAAGUCGAACGGCAGCACAGUAAGAGCCUGCUCUUACGGGUGGCGAGUGGCGGACGGGUGAGGAAUACAUCGGAAUCUACUUUUUCGUGGGGGAUAACGUAGGGAAACUUACGCUAAUACCGCAUACGACCUACGGGUGAAAGCAGGGGAUCUUCGGACCUUGCGCGAUUGAAUGAGCCGAUGUCGGAUUAGCUAGUUGGCGGGGUAAAGGCCCACCAAGGCGACGAUCCGUAGCUGGUCUGAGAGGAUGAUCAGCCACACUGGAACUGAGACACGGUCCAGACUCCUAUGGGAGGCAGCAGUGGGGAAUAUUGGACAAUGGGCGCAAGCCUGAUCCAGCCAUACCGCGUGGGUGAAGAAGGCCUUCGGGUUGUAAAGCCCUUUUGUUGGGAAAGAAAAGCAGCAGGUUAAUACCCCGCUGUUCUGACGGUACCCAAAGAAUAAGCACCGGCUAACUUCGUG